GCCCUGAUGUAGAUUGCCUUUGUCUUACUUGGGACGUUUACCUGAGCGCUUGGUGCUGGUGUCGGGACCGGGAGAUAGGAGUGUCUCAGGAGAGACCUGGCCGAAAACCGCGAGAAAGAAAAGUGAAGCCUAGUGAAACUGCCUUUGCAGUGACUCAGGAAAAACUCAUCACCUGGAGUCCGUGUAAGCUCGGCGACAGCCCUAGCAGCGAGGCCAAAACAGUUUGGGAAGAAAGAAAACCUAAAGUAUUUGCCGUUGGUGAUUC
Long non-coding RNA from Pan troglodytes (chimpanzee), 265 nucleotides. RefSeq annotates it as Y-linked testis transcript 15. Lineage: Eukaryota; Metazoa; Chordata; Mammalia; Primates; Hominidae. The record is from RefSeq and is marked provisional. The transcript is spliced from 2 exons.